RNAcentral lists this ribosomal RNA (492 nucleotides) under uncultured bacterium. RNAcentral's name for it is "partial 16S ribosomal RNA". It matches the Rfam family "Bacterial small subunit ribosomal RNA", at positions 29 to 507 of the family's 1533-position model. The record is from RNAcentral.
AGUGAACGCUGGCGGUAGGCCUAACACAUGCAAGUCGAACGGCAGCACAGUAAGAGCUUGCUCUUACGGGUGGCGAGUGGCGGACGGGUGAGGAAUACAUCGGAAUCUACUUUUUCGUGGGGGUUAACGUAGGGAAACUUACGCUAAUACCGCAUACGACCUACGGGUGAAAGCAGGGGAUCUUCGGACCUUGCGCGAUUCAAUGAGCCGAUGUCGGAUUGGCUAGUUGGCGGGGUAAAGGCCCACCAAGGCGACGCUCCGUAGCUGGUCUGAGAGGAUGAUCAGCCACACUGGAACUGAGACACGGUCGAGACACCUACGGAAGGCAGCAGUGGGGAAUAUUGGACAAGGGGCGAAAGCCUGAUCCAGCCAUACCGCGUGGGUGAAGAAGGCCUUCGGGUUGUAAAGCCAUUUUGUUGGGAAAGAAAAGCAGCAGGUUAAUACCCCGAUGUUCUGACGGUACCCAAAGAAUAAGCACCGGCUAACUUCGUG